CUUCCCUCCUGGUUGCGCUGUUUCCAGCCGCCUCACCAGCGUGAAGAAACGCAAACAAUGAUUUGAGAGAAUUGCAAUCACUCCUUCAAAAGUCUGAUGAAUCCCUAAUGCAGGGCACUGCCGUCCUUGUGAAAGGGACGUUACAGUGAACUUGUUCAAUCACACAGCAAGUGGAAGAACUGCGAUCUGAAUAACAUGUCCUACACAUCUAAGCAGAAACAAGAUCAUAGAGGCUGUAUAAGCUAUGCCAAAGGGCUUGGACUUUGUUCAAGGCAAGCGGUGAGGAAGCUGCUGGAAGAUUUUAAGCAGGAGAAAUGACAAGAUCAGAUUUUAUUUAUUCAUUAGAGGAGAGAGAGAACGCAAGCAGAGAAGAGGGAGAAGCAGGCUCC
Long non-coding RNA from Neomonachus schauinslandi (Hawaiian monk seal), 389 nucleotides. RefSeq lists it as uncharacterized. The transcript has 3 exons. The record is from RefSeq and is a predicted model, not a curated record. NCBI's taxonomy places the organism in Eukaryota, Metazoa, Chordata, Mammalia, Carnivora, Phocidae.